GGGUUGUGAGGUUAAGCGACUAAGCGUACACGGUGGAUGCCCUGGCAGUCAGAGGCGAUGAAGGGCGUGCUAAUCUGCGAUAAGCGCCGGUAAGGUGAUAUGAACCGUUAUAACCGGCGAUACCCGAAUGGGGAAACCCAGUGUGACUCGUCACACUAUCAUUAACUGAAUCCAUAGGUUAAUGAGGCGAACCGGGGGAACUGAAACAUCUAAGUACCCCGAGGAAAAGAAAUCAACCGAGAUUCCCCCAGUAGCGGCGAGCGAACGGGGAGGAGCCCAGAGCCUGAAUCAGCAUGUGUGUUAGUGGAAGCGUCUGGAAAGGCGCGCGAUACAGGGUGACAGCCCCGUACACAAAAGCGCAUGUGCUGUGAGCUCGAUGAGUAGGGCGGGACACGUGGUAUCCUGUCUGAAUAUGGGGGGACCAUCCUCCAAGGCUAAAUACUCCUGACUGACCGAUAGUGAACCAGUACCGUGAGGGAAAGGCGAAAAGAACCCCGGCGAGGGGAGUGAAAAAGAACCUGAAACCGUGUACGUACAAGCAGUGGGAGCACCCUUUGGGUGUGACUGCGUACCUUUUGUAUAAUGGGUCAGCGACUUAUAUUCUGUAGCAAGGUUAACCGAAUAGGGGAGCCGGAGGGAAACCGAGUCUUAAUUGGGCGUUAAGUUGCAGGGUAUAGACCCGAAACCCGGUGAUCUAGCCAUGGGCAGGUUGAAGGUUGGGUAACACUAACUGGAGGACCGAACCGACUAAUGUUGAAAAAUUAGCGGAUGACCUGUGGCUGGGGGUGAAAGGCCAAUCAAACCGGGAGAUAGCUGGUUCUCCCCGAAAGCUAUUUAGGUAGCGCCUCGUGAAUUCAUCUCCGGGGGUAGAGCACUGUUUCGGCUAGGGGGCCAUCCCGGCUUACCAACCCGAUGCAAACUGCGAAUACCGGAGAAUGUUAUCACGGGAGACACACGGCGGGUGCUAACGUCCGUCGUGAAGAGGGAAACAACCCAGACCGCCAGCUAAGGUCCCAAAGUCAUGGUUAAGUGGGAAACGAUGUGGGAAGGCCCAGACAGCCAGGAUGUUGGCUUAGAAGCAGCCAUCAUUUAAAGAAAGCGUAAUAGCUCACUGGUCGAGUCGGCCUGCGCGGAAGAUGUAACGGGGCUAAACCAUGCACCGAAGCUGCGGCAGCGACACUGUGUGUUGUUGGGUAGGGGAGCGUUCUGUAAGCCUGCGAAGGUGGCCUGUGAGGGUUGCUGGAGGUAUCAGAAGUGCGAAUGCUGACAUAAGUAACGAUAAAGCGGGUGAAAAGCCCGCUCGCCGGAAGACCAAGGGUUCCUGUCCAACGUUAAUCGGGGCAGGGUGAGUCGACCCCUAAGGCGAGGCCGAAAGGCGUAGUCGAUGGGAAACGGGUUAAUAUUCCCGUACUUGGUGUUACUGCGAAGGGGGGACGGAGAAGGCUAUGUUGGCCGGGCGACGGUUGUCCCGGUUUAAGCGUGUAGGCUGGUUUUCCAGGCAAAUCCGGAAAAUCAAGGCUGAGGCGUGAUGACGAGGCACUACGGUGCUGAAGCAACAAAUGCCCUGCUUCCAGGAAAAGCCUCUAAGCAUCAGGUAACAUCAAAUCGUACCCCAAACCGACACAGGUGGUCAGGUAGAGAAUACCAAGGCGCUUGAGAGAACUCGGGUGAAGGAACUAGGCAAAAUGGUGCCGUAACUUCGGGAGAAGGCACGCUGACACGUAGGUGAAGUGAUUUACUCAUGGAGCUGAAGUCAGUCGAAGAUACCAGCUGGCUGCAACUGUUUAUUAAAAACACAGCACUGUGCAAACACGAAAGUGGACGUAUACGGUGUGACGCCUGCCCGGUGCCGGAAGGUUAAUUGAUGGGGUCAGCGCAAGCGAAGCUCCUGAUCGAAGCCCCGGUAAACGGCGGCCGUAACUAUAACGGUCCUAAGGUAGCGAAAUUCCUUGUCGGGUAAGUUCCGACCUGCACGAAUGGCGUAAUGAUGGCCAGGCUGUCUCCACCCGAGACUCAGUGAAAUUGAACUCGCUGUGAAGAUGCAGUGUACCCGCGGCAAGACGGAAAGACCCCGUGAACCUUUACUAUAGCUUGACACUGAACAUUGAGCCUUGAUGUGUAGGAUAGGUGGGAGGCUUUGAAGUGUGGACGCCAGUCUGCAUGGAGCCGACCUUGAAAUACCACCCUUUAAUGUUUGAUGUUCUAACGUGGACCCGUUACCCGGGUUGCGGACAGUGUCUGGUGGGUAGUUUGACUGGGGCGGUCUCCUCCUAAAGAGUAACGGAGGAGCACGAAGGUUGGCUAAUCCUGGUCGGACAUCAGGAGGUUAGUGCAAUGGCAUAAGCCAGCUUGACUGCGAGCGUGACGGCGCGAGCAGGUGCGAAAGCAGGUCAUAGUGAUCCGGUGGUUCUGAAUGGAAGGGCCAUCGCUCAACGGAUAAAAGGUACUCCGGGGAUAACAGGCUGAUACCGCCCAAGAGUUCAUAUCGACGGCGGUGUUUGGCACCUCGAUGUCGGCUCAUCACAUCCUGGGGCUGAAGUAGGUCCCAAGGGUAUGGCUGUUCGCCAUUUAAAGUGGUACGCGAGCUGGGUUUAGAACGUCGUGAGACAGUUCGGUCCCUAUCUGCCGUGGGCGCUGGAGAACUGAGGGGGGCUGCUCCUAGUACGAGAGGACCGGAGUGGACGCAUCACUGGUGUUCGGGUUGUCAUGCCAAUGGCACUGCCCGGUAGCUAAAUGCGGAAGAGAUAAGUGCUGAAAGCAUCUAAGCACGAAACUUGCCCCGAGAUGAGUUCUCCCUGAGACUUAAAGUCUCCUGAAGGAACGUUGAAGACGACGACGUUGAUAGGCCGGGUGUGUAAGCGCAGCGAUGCGUUGAGCUAACCGGUACUAAUGAACCGUGAGGCUUAACCUUACAACGCCGAAG
RNAcentral lists this ribosomal RNA (2923 nucleotides) under Salmonella enterica subsp. enterica serovar Enteritidis. Its description in RNAcentral is "bacterial LSU rRNA". It matches the Rfam family "Bacterial large subunit ribosomal RNA". Lineage: Bacteria; Pseudomonadati; Pseudomonadota; Gammaproteobacteria; Enterobacterales; Enterobacteriaceae. The record is from RNAcentral.